Molecule: ribosomal RNA, 293 nt
Filed under: Citrobacter freundii
Lineage: Bacteria; Pseudomonadati; Pseudomonadota; Gammaproteobacteria; Enterobacterales; Enterobacteriaceae
Description: partial 23S ribosomal RNA
Rfam family: Bacterial large subunit ribosomal RNA
Source: RNAcentral
GGUUAAGCGACUAAGCGUACACGGUGGAUGCCCUGGCAGUCAGAGGCGAUGAAGGACGUGCUAAUCUGCGAUAAGCGUCGGUAAGGUGAUAUGAACCGUUAUAACCGGCGAUUUCCGAAUGGGGAAACCCAGUGUGAUUCGUCACACUAUCGUUAACUGAAUACAUAGGUUAACGAAGCGAACCGGGGGAACUGAAACAUCUAAGUACCCCGAGGAAAAGAAAUCAACCGAGAUUCCCCCAGUAGCGGCGAGCGAACGGGGAGCAGCCCAGAGUCUGAAUCAGCUUGUGUGUU